AAACCAUGCAUUGGGAAUUUUCUAAUUAAUUCCUUGAAUUGCUUCCAUGCUUUAUAUAAUGGUUCGUCCUCAUAUUGUAGAAAGGACGUAAUAUCAUUUCUCAGUUU
Molecule: small nucleolar RNA, 107 nt
Organism: Gossypium raimondii (Peruvian cotton)
Lineage: Eukaryota; Viridiplantae; Streptophyta; Magnoliopsida; Malvales; Malvaceae
Rfam family: Plant small nucleolar RNA R71
About the family: R71 is a member of the C/D box family of snoRNAs containing the C (UGAUGA) and D (CUGA) box motifs. Multiple nearly identical copies of this snoRNA have been identified in Arabidopsis, and it is thought to function as a 2'-O-ribose methylation guide for 18S ribosomal RNA.
Source: Rfam